UCUCCGUAGGUGAACCUGCGGAGGGAUCAUUACAGAGUUCUCGCCCUCACGGGUAGAUCUCCCACCCACUGUUAUCGUUACUGUCGUUUCUUUGGCGGGCCGCCGGGUCCCCGGCCGCCGGCGCCUAGCUGCCGGCGCGCGCCCGCCAGAGGCCUUCAAACUCUGAAUGUUAGUGUCGUCUGAGUACUAUAUAAUAGUUAAAACUUUCGACAACGGAUCUCUUGGUUCUG
RNAcentral lists this unclassified non-coding RNA (230 nucleotides) under plant metagenome. Its description in RNAcentral is "partial contains small subunit ribosomal RNA, internal transcribed spacer 1, and 5.8S ribosomal RNA". The record is from RNAcentral.